AAGGUGGGGAUGACGUCAAGUCCUCACUGGCCCUUAUGGUCCAGGGCUACACACGUGCUACGAAUGGCCGGUACAAAGGGCUGCAAUACCGCAAGGUGGAGCGAACCCCAAAAAGCCGGUCUCAGUUCGGAUUGGAGUCUGCAACUCGACUCCAUGAAGUUGGAAUCGCUAGUAAUCGCGGAUCAGCAUGCCGCGGUGAAUACGUUCCCGGGCCUU
This 216-nucleotide ribosomal RNA is filed under the name uncultured Pelobacter sp. RNAcentral's name for it is "partial 16S ribosomal RNA". It matches the Rfam family "Bacterial small subunit ribosomal RNA", at positions 1170 to 1382 of the family's 1533-position model. The record is from RNAcentral. Lineage: Bacteria; Pseudomonadati; Thermodesulfobacteriota; Desulfuromonadia; Desulfuromonadales; Desulfuromonadaceae.